RNAcentral lists this long non-coding RNA (1489 nucleotides) under Nicotiana benthamiana. Its description in RNAcentral is "long non-coding RNA (NBEN_LNC039624)". The record is from RNAcentral. Lineage: Eukaryota; Viridiplantae; Streptophyta; Magnoliopsida; Solanales; Solanaceae.
AGUCAUAUAGAAUCAAUGGAUUCAUGAUAAAGUAAAAUCCCUCGAUGACAUAUUUUAUCACAAUUAAUAUUUUUUGGCUGAUAGAGGGAUCAAAUGGAAAAAUCCAAACCAAACUCUACAAUACCCAGAACUCAAUCUAUUUUUAACCUAGAAUGCAAACCGUGAACAUUCAGUGAUUUGAACCAAAUUAUUAGGACCAGAAGAACAGAAUCCAAGCAGAAUUUUUAGUAAUUUUUUUGAAAAUGCCAGGAAUUCAAGGCUGUUUUAGUAUUUUUUAAAGAAGAGGCAGCCGUUUCAGUUUUGGAUGAUUUCUAUCUCUUAAAAUCUGACUUGAAUGUCAAGUAAAUGUGCCUUUAUAGGUAAGACAUUAGGGUUUCUUAAAGGUAUCGGUUUUUGCACUUUGAACCAUUUGAUAUUUUUAUUUUAGCUUAGGUACCAUUAGUUUAAUUUUCAGAACUUCAAUCUAGUCCCUACCCCAACUUCCUAGAAGCUUCCUCAAUCAUUUUUCAAAGAUUCUCUAAGCCAAUUUUUCCUAAGCUAACCCUUAAACCCGCUAUUUUUACUUCAGGAACCAAAUGGGUCAAAUUGACCCAAGGUUAAAACUGACACGGGUCUGCAAAAUCUGGGCUAAUCCCUUUUCCCCUUGAUCUUCUGCUUUAACAAAGCCUCAAUUAAAGAAAUUAGAAAAAACCCAAAACCCACAAAUGUUAACUUACAAGGUCAUAAGGACUCGUGAAAUCUUGGGCCUAAAGAGGAAAUAGAGACAGAACUACAUUCGAACAACAAAACGAAAAUGGGCUAAUUAGAGAUACAUGCUUAAAACUAACAUGCAUACAAGAUGUCUUGAAGAACUAGAAAAAUAAGAAAAAAUCAGAAAGAAGAGAAGGAAGCAGAAGAGAUGACGAGUAAAAAGUGAAAAAUGAAGAAAAGUGAAGCAACAGAAAGAGGAAAAAUACCUAAAAGAAAUGGUUGGACAGCGGAAUUGAAAAAUCUUCAAAGUCUUUCAAUUUCUUGACCAAGCUGGACAUUAACCAGGUGUUCCCACCGGGAACACACGAAUAACAUCAAAUUUGACCCUAAAUCUUUCUUGACCUUUCACGAUUUGGAAGUUUUGGGAUUUUAAGAUUUAGGCUCAGUUUUAAGAUCGAAUAUUCGAGAGCUUCUGAAAGGACUUGGAGGAAACCAAGCAGGAAUUGGAGAGGGGAAGUCAUGUGGGGUGUUGUGGUGUGGAUUUGGGGUCGGUUGGAGGUGGUGCCGCCGGCUUGUGCGGUGAGGAAACAGAGGCGACACUAGGGUUCAUUUGAUCACUGAAUGGAGAGAAUGAGAGAGAUGGAACUGGGGUAGGGUGGUGAUGUUCGUACAUCUAUAUGGCAAAUGAUAAAGCAGUUUCGAGCCAUUGGAUGAUAGGAAUCCAACGAUUGUGAUCAACAGAAUAAAAAUGGGAUCGUUUGGUUUAUUUGAAUGCACGGACCAGGUUUAGGCAUUUUGG